UACGGAGGAUGCAAGCGUUAUCCGGAAUGAUUGGGCGUAAAGCGUCCGCAGGUGGUUUUAAAAGUCUGUUGUUAAAGCGUGAGGCUUAACCUCAUAAGGGCAAUGGAAACUAUAAGACUAGGGUACGUUCGGGGCAAGGGGAAUUCCCAGUGUAGCGGUGAAAUUCGUAGAUAUUGGGAAGAACACCAGUGGCGAAGGCGGCUUGCUAGGCCGUAACUGACACUCAGGGACGAAAGCUAGGGGAGCGAAAGGG
Molecule: ribosomal RNA, 253 nt
Filed under: uncultured bacterium
Lineage: Bacteria
Description: partial 16S ribosomal RNA
Rfam family: Bacterial small subunit ribosomal RNA
Source: RNAcentral